RNAcentral lists this ribosomal RNA (497 nucleotides) under uncultured bacterium. RNAcentral describes it as "partial 16S ribosomal RNA". It matches the Rfam family "Bacterial small subunit ribosomal RNA", at positions 28 to 507 of the family's 1533-position model. The record is from RNAcentral.
GAUGAACGCUGGCGGCGUGCCUAAUACAUGCAAGUCGAGCGAACAGACGAGGAGCUUGCUCCACUGACGUUAGCGGCGGACGGGUGAGUAACACGUGGAUAACCUACCUAUAAGACUGGGAUAACUUCGGGAAACCGGCGCUAAUACCGGAUAAUCUAUUGAACCGCAUGGUUCAAUAGUGAAAGACGGUUUUGCUGUCACUUCUAGAUGGAUCCGCGCCGCAUUAGCUAGUUGGUAAGGUAACGGCUUACCAAGGCAACGAUGCGUAGCCGACCUGCGAGAGGGAUCGGCCACAUGGGAAGUGAGACACGGUACAGACUCCUACGAGAGGCAGCAGUAGGGAAUCUGCCGCAAUGGGCGAAAGCCUGACGGAGCAACGCGGCGUGAGAGAUGAAGGUCUUCGGAGCGUAAUACUCUGUUAUUAGGUAAGAACAAAUGUGUAAGUAACUAUGCACGGCUUGACGGUACCUAAUCAGAAAGCCACGGCUAACUACGUG